AAAUGCGAUAAGUAGUGUGAAUUGCAGAAUUCAGUGAAUCAUCGAAUCUUUGAACGCACAUUGCGCCCUUUGGUAUUCCAAAGGGCAUGCCUGUUCGAGCGUCAUUUGUACCCUCAAGCUUUGCUUGGUGUUGGGCAUCUUGUCUCCAGUUCGCUGGAGACUCGCCUUAAAGUAAUUGGCAGCCGGCCUACUGGUUUCGGAGCGCAGCACAAGUCGCGCUCUCUUCCAGCCAAGGUCAGCAUCCACAAAGCCUUUUUUCAACUUUUGACCUCGGAUCAGGUAGGGAUACCCGCUGAACUUAAGC
RNAcentral lists this unclassified non-coding RNA (304 nucleotides) under plant metagenome. RNAcentral describes it as "partial contains 5.8S ribosomal RNA, internal transcribed spacer 2, and large subunit ribosomal RNA". The stretch from base 1 to 104 matches the Rfam family "5.8S ribosomal RNA", at positions 51 to 154 of the family's 154-position model. The record is from RNAcentral.